Molecule: small nucleolar RNA, 129 nt
Filed under: Erinaceus europaeus (western European hedgehog)
Lineage: Eukaryota; Metazoa; Chordata; Mammalia; Eulipotyphla; Erinaceidae
Source: RNAcentral
UUGCAUACAUUUCGUAGCCUGUUCUGUUCUGUUGGCAUGAGCUGUGCUAUUUCUUACGUGCCAUAAAUAGAUGAAGGUUCCUUAGUAAUAUAACUAAGUAGCCAUGCUGCAAGCCUCCUUCAGACAAGU